Molecule: ribosomal RNA, 1576 nt
Filed under: Salmonella enterica
Lineage: Bacteria; Pseudomonadati; Pseudomonadota; Gammaproteobacteria; Enterobacterales; Enterobacteriaceae
Description: bacterial LSU rRNA
Rfam family: Bacterial large subunit ribosomal RNA
Source: RNAcentral
AAGGUGGCCUGUGAGGGUUGCUGGAGGUAUCAGAAGUGCGAAUGCUGACAUAAGUAACGAUAAAGCGGGUGAAAAGCCCGCUCGCCGGAAGACCAAGGGUUCCUGUCCAACGUUAAUCGGGGCAGGGUGAGUCGACCCCUAAGGCGAGGCCGAAAGGCGUAGUCGAUGGGAAACGGGUUAAUAUUCCCGUACUUGGUGUUACUGCGAAGGGGGGACGGAGAAGGCUAUGUUGGCCGGGCGACGGUUGUCCCGGUUUAAGCGUGUAGGUGUGUGUUCCAGGUAAAUCCGGUUCACUUUAACACUGAGGCGUGAUGACGAGGCACUACGGUGCUGAAGUAACAAAUGCCCUGCUUCCAGGAAAAGCCUCUAAGCAUCAGGUAACAUCAAAUCGUACCCCAAACCGACACAGGUGGUCAGGUAGAGAAUACCAAGGCGCUUGAGAGAACUCGGGUGAAGGAACUAGGCAAAAUGGUGCCGUAACUUCGGGAGAAGGCACGCUGACACGUAGGUGAAGUGAUUUACUCAUGGAGCUGAAGUCAGUCGAAGAUACCAGCUGGCUGCAACUGUUUAUUAAAAACACAGCACUGUGCAAACACGAAAGUGGACGUAUACGGUGUGACGCCUGCCCGGUGCCGGAAGGUUAAUUGAUGGGGUCAGCGCAAGCGAAGCUCCUGAUCGAAGCCCCGGUAAACGGCGGCCGUAACUAUAACGGUCCUAAGGUAGCGAAAUUCCUUGUCGGGUAAGUUCCGACCUGCACGAAUGGCGUAAUGAUGGCCAGGCUGUCUCCACCCGAGACUCAGUGAAAUUGAACUCGCUGUGAAGAUGCAGUGUACCCGCGGCAAGACGGAAAGACCCCGUGAACCUUUACUAUAGCUUGACACUGAACAUUGAGCCUUGAUGUGUAGGAUAGGUGGGAGGCUUUGAAGUGUGGACGCCAGUCUGCAUGGAGCCGACCUUGAAAUACCACCCUUUAAUGUUUGAUGUUCUAACGUGGACCCGUUACCCGGGUUGCGGACAGUGUCUGGUGGGUAGUUUGACUGGGGCGGUCUCCUCCUAAAGAGUAACGGAGGAGCACGAAGGUUGGCUAAUCCUGGUCGGACAUCAGGAGGUUAGUGCAAUGGCAUAAGCCAGCUUGACUGCGAGCGUGACGGCGCGAGCAGGUGCGAAAGCAGGUCAUAGUGAUCCGGUGGUUCUGAAUGGAAGGGCCAUCGCUCAACGGAUAAAAGGUACUCCGGGGAUAACAGGCUGAUACCGCCCAAGAGUUCAUAUCGACGGCGGUGUUUGGCACCUCGAUGUCGGCUCAUCACAUCCUGGGGCUGAAGUAGGUCCCAAGGGUAUGGCUGUUCGCCAUUUAAAGUGGUACGCGAGCUGGGUUUAGAACGUCGUGAGACAGUUCGGUCCCUAUCUGCCGUGGGCGCUGGAGAACUGAGGGGGGCUGCUCCUAGUACGAGAGGACCGGAGUGGACGCAUCACUGGUGUUCGGGUUGUCAUGCCAAUGGCACUGCCCGGUAGCUAAAUGCGGAAGAGAUAAGUGCUGAAAGCAUCUAAGCACGAAACUUGCCCCGAGAUGAGUUCU